Rosa rugosa (rugosa rose) is the source of this 927-nucleotide long non-coding RNA. RefSeq lists it as uncharacterized. NCBI's taxonomy places the organism in Eukaryota, Viridiplantae, Streptophyta, Magnoliopsida, Rosales, Rosaceae. The record is from RefSeq and is a predicted model, not a curated record. The transcript has 4 exons.
GCAAAACGCAAACCUCAAAUCAGAAACGCUAAAACCUCCAGCGACGGAUCCAAAACGCAUUGCAAAAUCUCUGAAGCAACAGCACUCAGCUUGAAUCUGGCUUCAAUGAAGGUCGAUAAGAGCUGAAGAACUUGAUGGAAAUCGGAGAAUUUGCUUUGUCUCUGGUCGAGUUAUCAAAGAAGAAUAGCUAGCCCGUUUGCUUUCAAUGUGAACUAAUCGGUUGGCCAGAUGCGGGCAGACUAGAGAUUGAUAGAAGUUGUGUUGGAAUUAGAACAAGGGCUGGGAAGUUUUGGUUUGUUCGGACUACGCAACAUAAAGUUUGAUGCAGGAAAGUAUGGAUGUACAACGAAGGUGCUGGGUUUGAAAUUUAUGUCGUCAAGGCAUAAACAAACAAAGAGGAAUCCUUGUAAAAUGAAUAACACCAGCGAGUGCAGUAGCAGGAUUGGACGAUGACGAGUGCAGUAGCAGAACACGAGUACGAGGGCAGUAGCAGAACUGGACGGAGUAUGAGUGCAGCGAGUGCAGUAGUAGGAUUGGACGAGUGCAGUAGCAGGAUUAGGCGAUGACGAGGGCAGUAGCAGAACUGGACGAGUAUGAGUGCAGCGAGUGCAGUAGCAGGAUUGGACGAGUGCAGUAGCAGGAUUAGGCAAUGACGAGGGCAGUAGCAGAACUGGACGAGUAUGAGUGCAGCGAGUGCAGUAGCAGGAUUGGACGAGUGCAGUAGCAGGAUUAGGCAAUGACGAGGGCAGUAGCAGAACUGGACGAGUAUGAGUGCAGCGAGUGUAGUAGCAGGAUUCGACGAGUGCAAUAGCAGGAUUAGGCGAUGACGAGGGCAGUAACAGAACUGGACGAGUAUGAGUGCAGCGAGUGCAGUAGCAGGAUUGGAUGAGUGCAGUAGCAGGGUUAGACGAGUGCAGUAGCAGGAUU